RNAcentral lists this ribosomal RNA (499 nucleotides) under uncultured bacterium. RNAcentral's name for it is "bacterial SSU rRNA". It matches the Rfam family "Bacterial small subunit ribosomal RNA", at positions 369 to 885 of the family's 1533-position model. The record is from RNAcentral.
CAAUGGUCGCAAGACUGAACGAGCACGCCGCGUGCAGGAGAAGGUUUUCGGAUCGUAAACUGCUUUUCUGUGGGAAGAGAACGGACGGUACCACAGGAAGAAGCCCCGGCUAACUACGUGCCAGCAGCCGCGGUAAUACGUAGGGGGCGAGCGUUGUCCGGAGUUACUGGGCGUAAAGGGCGUGCAGGCGGUGUGGUAAGUUUAGAGUGACAGUAUCCGGCUUAACUGGAUAAGGCCUCUGAAAACUGCCAGACUUGAGGGCCAGAGAGGGACAUAGAAUUCCGGGUGGAGUGGUGAAAUGCGUAGAUAUCCGGAGGAAUACCAAAGGCGAAGGCAGUGUCCUGGCUGGCAACUGACGCUGAGGCGCGAAAGCUAGGGGAGCGAACAGGAUUAGAUACCCUGGUAGUCCUAGCCGUAAACGAUGACCACUAGAUGUGCGGGGUAUCGACCCCCUGCGUGUCGGAGUUAACAUUUUAAGUGGUCCGCCUGGGGAGUACGG